UACGUAGGUGGCAAGCGUUGUCCGGAUUUACUGGGCGUAAAGAGCGCGCAGGCGGUCGUUCAAGUCGCGUGUGAAAGCCCCCGGCUCAACUGGGGAGGGUCACGCGAUACUGAUCGACUGGAAGGCAGGAGAGGGUAGUGGAAUUCCCGGUGUAGUGGUGAAAUGCGUAGAGAUCCGGAAGAACACCGGUGGCGAAGGCGGCCUGCUGGGCAGUUGCUGACACUGAGGCGCGACAGCGUGGGGAGCAAACAGG
RNAcentral lists this ribosomal RNA (253 nucleotides) under uncultured bacterium. RNAcentral's name for it is "partial 16S ribosomal RNA". It matches the Rfam family "Bacterial small subunit ribosomal RNA", at positions 524 to 776 of the family's 1533-position model. The record is from RNAcentral.